Molecule: ribosomal RNA, 502 nt
Filed under: uncultured bacterium
Lineage: Bacteria
Description: partial 16S ribosomal RNA
Rfam family: Bacterial small subunit ribosomal RNA
Source: RNAcentral
AUUGAACGCUGGCGGCGUGCUUUACACAUGCAAGUCGAACGGCAGCACAGACUUCGGUCUGGUGGCGAGUGGCGAACGGGUGAGUAAUACAUCGGAACGUACCUUUUAGUUGGGGAUAACGCAUCGAAAGAUGUGCUGAUACCGAAUAAUCUCUGAGGAGGAAAGGCGGGGAUCGGAAACGACCUGUCGCUGAAAGAGCGGCCGAUGGCCGACUAGCUAGUUGGCGGGGUAAAGGCCGACCAAGGCGAUGAUCGGUAGCUGUUCUGAGAGGAAGAUCAGACACACUGUGACUGAGACACGGCCCAGACUCCUACGGGAGGCAGCAGUGUGGAAUUUUGGACAAUGGGGGCAACCCUGAUCCAGCAACGCCGCGUGAAUGAAGAAGGCCUUAGGGUUGUAAAGUUCUUUUGUCGCAGAGCAAAAUGCUUGUACUAAUACUAUGAGGAGAUGAGAGUAUGCGAAGAAUAAGCACCGGCUAACUACGUGCCAGCAGCCGCCGCAG